This 1242-nucleotide ribosomal RNA is filed under the name metagenome. RNAcentral describes it as "bacterial LSU rRNA". It matches the Rfam family "Bacterial large subunit ribosomal RNA", at positions 1564 to 2816 of the family's 2925-position model. The record is from RNAcentral.
UGAAUACGAGACACUAAGGUGUUGAAGUAGUGUAUGUCAUACUUCCAAGAAAAGCUUGCACUGUCAUAGAUAAAAAAUGCCUGUACCAUAACCGACACAGGUGGGUAGGUAGAGUAUACUAAGGGGCGCGAGAUAACUCUCUCUAAGGAACUCGGCAAAAUAACUCCGUAACUUCGGGAGAAGGAGUGCCUUAUUUAUAAGGUUGCAAUAACAAGAUCCAAGCAACUGUUUAUCAAAAACACAGGUCUCCGCUAAGUCGUAAGACGAUGUAUGGGGGCUGACGCCUGCCCAGUGCCAGAAGGUUAAAGAAGUUGGUUAGCAAUAGCGAAGCUGGUAACUGAAGCCCUGGUGAACGGCGGCCGUAACAAUAACGGUCCUAAGGUAGCGAAAUUCCUUGUCGGGUAAGUUCCGACCCGCACGAAAGGCGUAAUGAUUUGGAUACUGUCUCGGAGAGGGGCUCGGUGAAAUAGACUUGUCUGUGAAGAUGCGGACUACCUGCACCAGGACAGAAAGACCCUAUGAAGCUUUACUGUAACUUGAAAUUGAAAUUGGACUUUAUUCGCGCAGCAUAGGUGGGAGGCGUUGAUUAUAAUCUCGCGGGAUUAUUGGAGCCAUCAGUGAGAUACCACUCUUGUAAUGUUAGAUUUCUAACUUUGAAUCAUUAUCUGGUCAUAGGACAGUUUCAGGCGGGCAGUUUGACUGGGGCGGUCGCCUCCUAAACGGUAACGGAGGCGUACAAAGGUUUCCUCUGAACGGUUAGAAAUCGUAUCUAGAGUGUAAAGGCAUAAGGAAGCUUGACUGUGAGACCUACAAGUCGAGCAGGGACGAAAGUCGGUCUUAGUGAUCUGACGGUACUGAGUGGAAAGGCCGUCACUCAACGGAUAAAAGUUACUCUAGGAUAACAGGCUGAUCUCCCCCAAGAGUUCACAUCGACGGGGAGGUUUGGCACCUCGAUGUCGGCUCAUCGCAUCCUGGGGCGGUAGUACGUCCCAAGGGUUGGGCUGUUCGCCCAUGAAAGCGGUACGCGAGCUGGGUUCAGAACGUCGUGAGACAGUUCGGUCCAUAUCCGGUGUAGGCGUUAGAAUAUUGAGAGGAGCCUUCUUUAGUACGAGAGGACCGAGAAGGACAUACCUCUGGUGUACCAGUUAUCGUGCCAACGGUAAACGCUGGGUAGCUAUGUAUGGAGUGGAUAACCGCUGAAAGCAUCUAAGUGGGAAGCCCACCUCAAGAUAAGUAUUCUCA